GCGUUCGAGCGGCGGACGGGUGAGUAAUGCAUAGGAAUCUGCCCGGUAGUGGGGGAUAACCUGGGGAAACUCAGGCUAAUACCGCAUACGCCCUACGGGGGAAAGCAGGGGCUCUUCGGACCUUGCGCUAUCGGAUGAGCCUAUGUCGGAUUAGCUAGUUGGUGAGGUAAUGGCUCACCAAGGCGACGAUCCGUAGCUGGUCUGAGAGGAUGAUCAGCCACAUCGGGACUGAGACACGGCCCGAACUCCUACGGGAGGCAGCAGUGGGGAAUAUUGGACAAUGGGCGAAAGCCUGAUCCAGCCAUGCCGCGUGUGUGAAGAAGGCUUUCGGGUUGUAAAGCACUUUCAGUGAGGAAGAACGCCUUGGGGCUAAUACCCCCGAGGGAAGACAUCACUCACAGAAGAAGCACCGGCUAACUCCGUGCCAGCAGCCGCGGUAAUACGGAGGGUGCAAGCGUUAAUCGGAAUUACUGGGCGUAAAGCGCGCGUAGGCGGCGUGAUAAGCCGGUUGUGAAAGCCCCGGGCUCAACCUGGGAACGGCAUCCGGAACUGUCAGGCUAGAGUGCAGGAGAGGAAGGUAGAAUUCCCGGUGUAGCGGUGAAAUGCGUAGAGAUCGGGAGGAAUACCAGUGGCGAAGGCGGCCUUCUGGACUGACACUGACGCUGAGGUGCGAAAGCGUGGGUAGCAAACAGGAUUAGAUACCCUGGUAGUCCACGCCGUAAACGAUGUCGACUAGCCGUUGGGGUCCUAGAGACUUUGUGGCGCAGUUAACGCGAUAAGUCGACCGCCUGGGGAGUACGGCCGCAAGGUUAAAACUCAAAUGAAUUGACGGGGGCCCGCACAAGCGGUGGAGCAUGUGGUUUAAUUCGAUGCAACGCGAAGAACCUUACCUACCCUUGACAUCGUGCGAACUUGGUAGAGAUACCUUGGUGCCUUCGGGAACGCACAGACAGGUGCUGCAUGGCUGUCGUCAGCUCGUGUUGUGAAAUGUUGGGUUAAGUCCCGUAACGAGCGCAACCCUUGUCCCUAUUUGCCAGCGAUUCGGUCGGGAACUCUAGGGAGACUGCCGGUGACAAACCGGAGGAAGGUGGGGACGACGUCAAGUCAUCAUGGCCCUUACGGGUAGGGCUACACACGUGCUACAAUGGCCGGUACAAAGGGUUGCGAAUCCGCGAGGUGGAGCUAAUCCCGAAAAGCCGGUCUCAGUCCGGAUCGGAGUCUGCAACUCGACUCCGUGAAGUCGGAAUCGCUAGUAAUCGUGCAUCAGAA
RNAcentral lists this ribosomal RNA (1269 nucleotides) under Halomonas alimentaria. Its description in RNAcentral is "bacterial SSU rRNA". It matches the Rfam family "Bacterial small subunit ribosomal RNA", at positions 87 to 1354 of the family's 1533-position model. The record is from RNAcentral. Lineage: Bacteria; Pseudomonadati; Pseudomonadota; Gammaproteobacteria; Oceanospirillales; Halomonadaceae.